This 253-nucleotide ribosomal RNA is filed under the name uncultured bacterium. RNAcentral describes it as "partial 16S ribosomal RNA". It matches the Rfam family "Bacterial small subunit ribosomal RNA", at positions 524 to 776 of the family's 1533-position model. RNAcentral also lists the same sequence under 1 other name. The record is from RNAcentral.
CACGUAGGGCGCAAGCGUUGUCCGGAAUUAUUGGGCGUAAAGAGCUCGUAGGCGGUCCGUCACGUCCGCUGUGAAAACCCAGGGCUCAACCCUGGGCUUGCAGUGGAUACGGGCAGACUAGAGGUAGGUAGGGGAGAAUGGAAUUCCCGGUGUAGCGGUGAAAUGCGCAGAUAUCGGGAGGAACACCGGUGGCGAAGGCGGUUCUCUGGGCCUUACCUGACGCUGAGGAGCGAAAGCGUGGGGAGCGAACAGG